Molecule: ribosomal RNA, 638 nt
Filed under: uncultured bacterium
Lineage: Bacteria
Description: bacterial SSU rRNA
Rfam family: Bacterial small subunit ribosomal RNA (bases 1-542)
Source: RNAcentral
CCUACGGGAGGCAGCAGUGGGGAAUUUUGGACAAUGGGCGCAAGCCUGAUCCAGCCAUGCCGCGUGUGGGAAGAAGGCCUUCGGGUUGUAAACCACUUUUGUCAGGGAAGAAACGGUUUGUCCUAAUACGGCGGACUAAUGACGGUACCUGAAGAAUAAGCACCGGCUAACUACGUGCCAGCAGCCGCGGUAAUACGUAGGGUGCAAGCGUUAAUCGGAAUUACUGGGCGUAAAGCGUGCGCAGGCGGCUUUGCAAGACAGAUGUGAAAUCCCCGGGCUCAACCUGGGAACUGCAUUUGUGACUGCAUGGCUAGAGUACGGUAGAGGGGGAUGGAAUUCCGCGUGUAGCAGUGAAAUGCGUAGAUAUGCGGAGGAACACCGAUGGCGAAGGCAAUCCCCUGGACCUGUACUGACGCUCAUGCACGAAAGCGUGGGGAGCAAACAGGAUUAGAUACCCUGGUAGUCCACGCCCUAAACGAUGUCAACUGGUUGUUGGACGGCUUGCUGUUCAGUAACGAAGCUAACGCGUGAAGUUGACCGCCUGGGGGAGGUACGGCCGGCGAGGUUAGUAAACGUUAAAGGUAAAGUUAGUACGGCGUGAGACGUAGCCGAACGGACGACGACGAGGGAGGUUAGGG